This 528-nucleotide ribosomal RNA is filed under the name Klebsiella sp. 110518_136_C_G9. RNAcentral's name for it is "bacterial SSU rRNA". It matches the Rfam family "Bacterial small subunit ribosomal RNA", at positions 217 to 737 of the family's 1533-position model. Lineage: Bacteria; Pseudomonadati; Pseudomonadota; Gammaproteobacteria; Enterobacterales; Enterobacteriaceae. The record is from RNAcentral.
GCCAUCAGAUGUGCCCAGAUGGGAUUAGCUAGUAGGUGGGGUAAUGGCUCACCUAGGCGACGAUCCCUAGCUGGUCUGAGAGGAUGACCAGCCACACUGGAACUGAGACACGGUCCAGACUCCUACGGGAGGCAGCAGUGGGGAAUAUUGCACAAUGGGCGCAAGCCUGAUGCAGCCAUGCCGCGUGUAUGAAGAAGGCCUUCGGGUUGUAAAGUACUUUCAGCGAGGAGGAAGGCAUGAAGCUUAAUACGCUUUGUGAUUGACGUUACUCGCAGAAGAAGCACCGGCUAACUCCGUGCCAGCAGCCGCGGUAAUACGGAGGGUGCAAGCGUUAAUCGGAAUUACUGGGCGUAAAGCGCACGCAGGCGGUUUGUUAAGUCAGAUGUGAAAUCCCCGGGCUCAACCUGGGAACUGCAUUUGAAACUGGCAAGCUUGAGUCUUGUAGAGGGGGGUAGAAUUCCAGGUGUAGCGGUGAAAUGCGUAGAGAUCUGGAGGAAUACCGGUGGCGAAGGCGGCCCCCUGGACAAA